AUUUGUAGGUUACUUUGGGUGACAAGAGCAUGUGAUAUUUCAAAAUGUGUGAAGAGAAUCUAAUCAAUCCAAAGGACUACAUAGAUAUGGGUGCAAGGCAAUAGUAAUCACAAAAAAACUUUAAUUUGCCCCACACUACCCAAUGCUUUCACUCUCUUACCAAACAAAAGAAAAACAAAAUAUUAGCACUACCCUUACUUGCCAUAUCUCAUUUCCUACACCCAUUAUAUAUACUCCCCUCUCCUUUCAACAAUCCUCACUUCUCUCUUCAUUCGCUGUUUCAUCUUAGUAGCAGUUUUGAGUUGUUUCUAAAUUGCUCUUCUUGUUUUUUGUUUUUUUUUUCAUUUUUCAUUUUCUACCUAGGGUUAUCUUUUUCAGUCUUUUUUUUUCUUUCCUUUACCACACAUCUGUAUAUAUAUGUAGAUCGAUUCAAGAAGCCUUGUGGUUUUCUGGGUUUUGAUCUUUUUCUUUUGUUGUUAUGAGAGGUUUGUGUCUAAGGUUUUUUUGAGAUGGAAGUUGAGGACAGUCUUUGGGCAGUUUCUUAGGACAGGAUUUAGGUUGACUUUUGUUGUCUUUAUAUGUGAUAUAAGAAUGUUUUAGGGUUUUGAGAGUGGAGCUCCUUGAAGUCCAACAGAGGAUCUAACAGGUCUGUAGAUCUUAAUUCCUAUUUCUGGGUUCUGAAGAAAUCGAAGUUUAUCAGCUUGUUGGAUUUGCAAAAUCUAUCAGCGCAGGUUUAUCAGAUAAAGCAAGCCCCAGCAGCUUUUUCCUUUGUCCAGAUUUGAGAUGCAGAAAACAUUUUUACAUCUGUUUUUUUGCAGUAGUGUACAAUUAAGGAAAUAGUUUUAACUUCAUCUUCUUUGUAACAAAACAUGUAUAUAUAUUACAUUAUUUCUGUAAAUCGAUAACGCAUCGUUAAGUGAAUGUCUAGUGUUUUCUAUAAAUAACAGUUUUGGGUUAAUUCUGUA
Molecule: long non-coding RNA, 965 nt
Organism: Nicotiana tabacum (common tobacco)
Lineage: Eukaryota; Viridiplantae; Streptophyta; Magnoliopsida; Solanales; Solanaceae
Source: RefSeq, a predicted model, not a curated record